GAUGAAGAACGCAGCGAAAUGCGAUAAGUAAUGUGAAUUGCAGAAUUCAGUGAAUCAUCGAAUCUUUGAACGCACCUUGCGCCCUUUGGCCAUUCCGAAGGGCAUGCCUGUUUGAGUAUCAUGAACACCUCAACUCUUUAUGGUUUUCCAUGAUGAGCUUGGACUCUGGGGGUUUUGCUGGCUCACAGUCGGCUCCUCUAAAAUGAAUCAGCUUACCAGUGUUUGGUGGGUAUCAUGGGUGUGAUAACUAUCUACGCUUGUGGUUUUUCCACCAGGUAACCUUCAGCAGUGGAGGUUCGCUGGAGCUCAUAGAUGUCUCUCCUCAGUGAGGACAGCCCUUUGAAUGUUUGAUCUCAAAUCAGGUAGGACUACCCGCUGAACUUAAGCAUAUCAAUCAGCGGAGGA
RNAcentral lists this unclassified non-coding RNA (405 nucleotides) under soil metagenome. RNAcentral describes it as "partial contains 5.8S ribosomal RNA, internal transcribed spacer 2, and large subunit ribosomal RNA". The stretch from base 1 to 121 matches the Rfam family "5.8S ribosomal RNA", at positions 35 to 154 of the family's 154-position model. The record is from RNAcentral.